CAGUCAAAUUACGUAGUCUCAAAACAAACGGAAAAGUGCAGGGAUGCAGAAACAUUCCCCUGUUCAAAUUGAAGAUAGCAAAAAUCUUCCAAAAUCUCAAAGAAUCCUUGCUAGAAAGGUCAAUAAACUUGGAAAUACAAGACUGCAAGAAGCUGCUUAAAAUUUUCGAGCUACUGCGUUUUCAGUAAUGUUGUACAUCGUAAUGUUUUUAAAUUCAUCCAUUGUAAUUUGGAUUCGUGCAUGAGUGAUCCAUACUAUAUCUCUUUUUAAAAUUUUGGGUGUAAGGAGGACAGAACUUUGAGAUGAGCAGGAGGACAGAACUUUGUCGAAACUUCCAACGAGGAAGUUGUCGAUAUGGUUCAGAUUGCAAGUUCCUUCAUCCAACGCAACAACCGUCUAAUCCUUACGGCUUUGGGGUAAAGAAUCCAUCACAAACACGGAGUGGAUUUGGUUUUGGGGCAACUCAUCAGAAUCAGAAAGCAUCUGAGAGAGGUAAUCGUUUUCUACCAUUGUCAGGAGCUGGUUCAGUGGGAUCUCAACAAAAUGACUCUCAGCCGCAGGUGGCAAAUCAUGUGUGUAAUGAUCCAAAUAUUUGCAAACAACAAAUUGUUGAAGACUUAAAAAAUGAGCGACCUGUUUGGAAGCUUACAUGCUAUAGCCAUUGGAGAUCACUUCCUUGUGAUAUUAUUGGGGACAUAAGCUAUGAAGAAUUGAGAUUUGCUGCCUACGAUGAUGCUAAACAAGGACUGUCUCUUCAACAAAUAAUUCAAAGGGAGAGUAGCCUAGUUAAUUCGAAAAAGGAAGAAUUCAAUAAUCUUCUCCGUACUCCAUACAGACCUCCUUCAAAUUCCAGUUCCAGUGGAUUUAAUUCCUCUUCAGCUCCAUUCUCUUUUCAAAAUAACACAAUUGCAUCAGUUCCAAGUGUUGGCCUGUUUGGGAGUACAACUGGUGGAACAUAUCAGACCAGUGCUGGAUUUGGGACUCCUCCAAACACAUUUGGCUCUGUUCUUGGAAAUACAUUGCAUGCAUUUGGAAAUCAAGCUCAAACUCCCAAUCAAAACCCUUUCGGCAAGGCUUCAGUUUUUCCAACCAAUUUUACUGGACAACAAAAUCCCAACUCUUCAGCAAUUGGGUUUGGUGCCAACAGUUCACCAUUUGGAGCUCCAGGGCCUUUUUCUUCUGAAGGUGCAAGUCGUCAUACGUUUGGGAGUACACCAGGCACGAACAUGUUUGGCUCUCAAAAUAAUGCCAAUAUGAUUAGCAAUAACCCUUUUUCUAGUGCUGCAACAAACUCAAUGCCCUUCUCAAGUUUUGGAAAUCAGGCAGUCCACACCCCAAAUAAUAUUACUGUUUCUGGAAGUUUAGCUGGUACCAGUGGAAACCCUUUUGUUACCAUCACAUCAGCGGCACCGAUGGGCUCUGUAUCUCCUGCUAGUGUACCAAGUGUGACACAAUCUACAGAGAAUGACAUAUGGUUGAAGGAUACAUGGGGUGUUGGUGAGAUCCCAGAAGAUGAACCACCGCCAUACGCAAGGAGGUGAACUUUAUUGAGUCCAUAGCUUGUUUAUAAAAGCAACAGUUAUGCUUGUGAAUAUUUUGCCGCACAAUGAGAAAAAAAAAGUAUUGUGAUGAUAUGCUUCUGGGAUUGCUAUGUGGGUUUUUAAGAAAUCUUUUUUGUUUUUUAUGUAAAUAUGACAAGAGCUAUAUGUCCCUUUGUGUCUGCUCGCUUCAUCUUUUCACUUUGAGGCAGUUGCUUUGAAAUGUUUCUGUUGCUUGCAUGGAUAUAUCUUUCCAGCCAAUUUUGCCAUUUCUAAUCAAGUUCCUUAUUCAAUCCAAAUUUGAUACAAACAAAGGAUAUUUACCGACAGCAGUUCCAUGUAAUGAGAGAUUUGAUGGUUUGACAAGGAACAGAGCAGAUCAGAAACUUUCAUUGUUCCAUCUAACAUUGACCUGUUUAUGAGAAAGUACUUUGAAGAUGCAAAUGGAUAUCAACAAAUCCAGUCUGCUAUCUGAUUGAAAAGACAGAAAUCUUACAGAAUAUGCCUCCAGCCCUUCAACUGAUUGCAUACCUGGAUGCUUCUCAAGAUUAUCAUCUUGCAGCUUGUUCUCUAGUAACAUUUUGUGGAGGUGUCUCCAUAUCAAUAUAUGAAGUCUUUUUGUGAUGCCUUUGGUCAUCAUUUUUUUUGAGAUUGCAUCCAAAAAAUAUGCAAAUCAAUCAAUUUCACAUUCAGAGUUACCAAAUUCUUUGUGUGUUUCAUCUAUUUUAUGCCUUUCAGGCUCCAAAAUAACAAACAAUUUCAAUGCUGAGAUAAGGCAAAGGCAAUGUGUGCCUUUUCUGUCAUAAACUUGUGCAACAAAUGAGUAAGUCUAGUGUUCCAUAACUAAAAGAGCAUUUGUCCUAUUGAAGGACUGAAAGGAGCUUAUUUUGUUUGAUA
Molecule: RNA transcript, 2435 nt
Organism: Cryptomeria japonica (Japanese cedar)
Lineage: Eukaryota; Viridiplantae; Streptophyta; Pinopsida; Cupressales; Cupressaceae
Gene name: zinc finger CCCH domain-containing protein 16
Exons: 11
Source: RefSeq, a predicted model, not a curated record